GGGCUCGUAGCUCAAUGGCGGAGCGGCUGGCUCAUAACCAGUUGGUUGUAGGUUCGAAUCCUACCGAGCCCA
RNAcentral lists this transfer RNA (72 nucleotides) under Elusimicrobiota bacterium. RNAcentral describes it as "Elusimicrobia bacterium (groundwater metagenome) tRNA-Ile". It matches the Rfam family "tRNA". Rfam says of the family: Transfer RNA (tRNA) molecules are approximately 80 nucleotides in length. Their secondary structure includes four short double-helical elements and three loops (D, anti-codon, and T loops). The record is from RNAcentral. Lineage: Bacteria; Pseudomonadati; Elusimicrobiota.